RNAcentral lists this ribosomal RNA (276 nucleotides) under uncultured prokaryote. Its description in RNAcentral is "partial 16S ribosomal RNA". It matches the Rfam family "Bacterial small subunit ribosomal RNA", at positions 524 to 800 of the family's 1533-position model. The record is from RNAcentral.
UACGUAGGGGGCUAGCGUUAUCCGGAAUUACUGGGCGUAAAGGGUGCGUAGGUGGUUUCUUAAGUCAGAGGUGAAAGGCUACGGCUCAACCGUAGUAAGCCUUUGAAACUGAGAAACUUGAGUGCAGGAGAGGAGAGUAGAAUUCCUAGUGUAGCGGUGAAAUGCGUAGAUAUUAGGAGGAAUACCAGUUGCGAAGGCGGCUCUCUGGACUGUAACUGACACUGAGGCACGAAAGCGUGGGGAGCAAACAGGAUUAGAUACCCGUGUAGUCCCUGA